CCUUCCCGCCCGCGGCUCACUCUCCACGGUGAGUUUGGCCUGUGUCUUGUCAUCCGGCGUCUCGCAGCCAAAGAAGCCACGGUCGGCAAAACCUACGUUGUGCAGAACCAGGCGGUGGCGGGCGCCCUCGGCGUGGAUCUCCACGUUCUUUCCCGGCGCCAGGGCCGUCGCGUUCCGUGUCCACCUCAGCUCCGGCCACGGCCGCGUCAGCUCCACCUCCAGGGUCACCGAGCUCCGCUCCUCCACCGUCUGCGGCUCCAGCUUCUUUUUGAACAGCACAGGCGCCUCUGGGGUCGCAGGAGAGGGGAGGUCACGGCGGCCCUCGCCCUCCUCCACGGACAAGCCAAGGUGCAACUGCAGGAUUGUAUCUUCUCUAUACCAAGAGAAGGCACCUGGCCCAUCCAGCCUACCGGAGUCUCCUCUCUGCAGCCCACACACCCCGUGUCUCCUGAGGUCAGCCGGACCAGCCGUAACAGGACAGCAGUUCCAGGUGCCCACUCAGAACCAGCCCACAGGGGAGGUGCCUGUGCAAGGAGCCCUGGCCAGCCAG
Molecule: long non-coding RNA, 550 nt
Filed under: Homo sapiens (human)
Lineage: Eukaryota; Metazoa; Chordata; Mammalia; Primates; Hominidae
Description: non-protein coding lnc-TRIM11-7:2
Source: RNAcentral